Molecule: ribosomal RNA, 1314 nt
Filed under: metagenome
Description: bacterial LSU rRNA
Rfam family: Bacterial large subunit ribosomal RNA
Source: RNAcentral
GGUAACCAGGAACCGUACCCCAAACCGACACAGGUGGUUGGGUAGAGAAUACCAAGGCGCUUGAGAGAACUCGGGUGAAGGAACUAGGCAAAAUGGCACCGUAACUUCGGGAGAAGGUGCGCCGGUGAGGGUGAAGCAUUUACUGCGUAAGCCCAUGCCGGUCGAAGAUACCAGGCCGCUGCGACUGUUUAUUAAAAACACAGCACUCUGCAAACACGAAAGUGGACGUAUAGGGUGUGACGCCUCCCCGGUGCCGGAAGGUUAAUUGAUGGGGUUAGCUAACGCGAAGCUCUUGAUCGAAGCCCCGGUAAACGGCGGCCGUAACAAUAACGGUCCUAAGGUAGCGAAAUUCCUUGUCGGGUAAGUUCCGACCUGCACGAAUGGCGUAACGAUGGCGGCGCUGUCUCCACCCGAGACUCAGUGAAAUUGAAAUCGCUGUGAAGAUGCAGUGUAUCCGCGGCUAGACGGAAAGACCCCGUGAACCUUUACUAUAGCUUUGCACUGGACUUUGAAUUUGCUUGUGUAGGAUAGGUGGGAGGCUUUGAAGCGUGGACGCCAGUUCGCGUGGAGCCAACCUUGAAAUACCACCCUGGCAACUUUGAGGUUCUAACUCAGGUCCGUUAUCCGGAUCGAGGACAGUGUAUGGUGGGUAGUUUGACUGGGGCGGUCUCCUCCUAAAGAGUAACGGAGGAGUACGAAGGUGCGCUCAGACCGGUCGGAAAUCGGUCGUAGAGUAUAAAGGCAAAAGCGCGCUUGACUGCGAGACAGACACGUCGAGCAGGUACGAAAGUAGGUCUUAGUGAUCCGGUGGUUCUGUAUGGAAGGGCCAUCGCUCAACGGAUAAAAGGUACUCCGGGGAUAACAGGCUGAUACCGCCCAAGAGUUCAUAUCGACGGCGGUGUUUGGCACCUCGAUGUCGGCUCAUCACAUCCUGGGGCUGAAGCCGGUCCCAAGGGUAUGGCUGUUCGCCAUUUAAAGUGGUACGCGAGCUGGGUUUAGAACGUCGUGAGACAGUUCGGUCCCUAUCUGCCGUGGACGUUUGAGAUUUGAGAGGGGCUGCUCCUAGUACGAGAGGACCGGAGUGGACGAACCUCUGGUGUUCCGGUUGUCACGCCAGUGGCAUUGCCGGGUAGCUAUGUUCGGAAUAGAUAACCGCUGAAAGCAUCUAAGCGGGAAACUAGCCUCAAGAUGAGAUCUCACUGGGACCUUGAGUCCCCUGAAGGGCCGUCGAAGACUACGACGUUGAUAGGUUGGGUGUGUAAGCGCUGUGAGGCGUUGAGCUAACCAAUACUAAUUGCCCGUGAGGCUUGACGA